RNAcentral lists this ribosomal RNA (392 nucleotides) under [Curtobacterium] plantarum. RNAcentral's name for it is "bacterial SSU rRNA". It matches the Rfam family "Bacterial small subunit ribosomal RNA", at positions 248 to 633 of the family's 1533-position model. The record is from RNAcentral. Lineage: Bacteria; Pseudomonadati; Pseudomonadota; Gammaproteobacteria; Enterobacterales; Erwiniaceae.
GUAGGUGGGGUAAUGGCCCACCUAGGCGACGAUCCCUAGCUGGUCUGAGAGGAUGACCAGCCACACUGGAACUGAGACACGGUCCAGACUCCUACGGGAGGCAGCAGUGGGGAAUAUUGCACAAUGGGCGCAAGCCUGAUGCAGCCAUGCCGCGUGUGUGAAGAAGGUCUUCGGGUUGUAAAGUACUUUCAGCUGGGAGGAAGGCGACUGGGUUAAUAAUCCGGUCGAUUGACGUUACCCGCAGAAGAAGCACCGGCUAACUCCGUGCCAGCAGCCGCGGUAAUACGGAGGGUGCAAGCGUUAAUCGGAAUUACUGGGCGUAAAGCGCGCGCAGGCGGUCUGUUAAGUCCAAGGUGAAAUCCCCGGGCCUAACCUGGUAACUGAUUUGAAAC